This 565-nucleotide ribosomal RNA is filed under the name uncultured cyanobacterium. RNAcentral's name for it is "bacterial SSU rRNA". It matches the Rfam family "Bacterial small subunit ribosomal RNA", at positions 338 to 916 of the family's 1533-position model. Lineage: Bacteria; Bacillati; Cyanobacteriota. The record is from RNAcentral.
CCUACGGGAGGCAGCAGUGGGGAAUUUUCCGCAAUGGGCGAAAGCCUGACGGAGCAAUACCGCGUGAGGGAUGACGGCCUAUGGGUUGUAAACCUCUUUUCUCAGGGAGGAAAUCAAUGACGUUACCUGAGGAAUAAGCAUCGGCUAACUCCGUGCCAGCAGCCGCGGUAAGACGGAGGAUGCAAGUGUUAUCCGGAAUCACUGGGCGUAAAGCGUCUGUAGGUGGCUUAACAAGUCAACUGUUAAAUCUUGAAGCUCAACUUCGAAAUCGCAGUCGAAACUGUUAGGCUAGAGUAUAGUAGGGGUAAAGGGAAUUUCCAGUGGAGCGGUGAAAUGCGUAGAGAUUGGAAAGAACACCGAUGGCGAAGGCACUUUACUGGGCUAUUACUGACACUCAGAGACGAAAGCUAGGGUAGCAAAUGGGAUUAGAUACCCCAGUAGUCCUAGCCGUAAACAAUGGAUACUAGAUGUUGGGCAGAUCGACCUGUUCAGUAUUAAAGCUAACGCGUUAAGAAUCCCGCCUGGGAAGUAUGCGCGCAAGCGUGAAACUCAAAUGAAUUGACGG